Molecule: non-coding RNA, 665 nt
Organism: Drosophila melanogaster (fruit fly)
Lineage: Eukaryota; Metazoa; Arthropoda; Insecta; Diptera; Drosophilidae
Source: Ensembl
GAAUAGAGGGUAUAUCACUUCCUUUCUGUCAUGUGACAAUUUCAUAUUUUGAACGAAAUUUAUAUUUCGUUUAGAACAUUACGUUUUCAAAUAUUUCAAGCAAUUAAGGAAAUUACAAGAAUGUAAUUAAAAAUUCUAUACAUAUUCUCUUUAAAUAUAGGUAAAAGUUGUUUAACUUUAUUGGAAUAUUUCUGUGGCUUUCUGUGAAUUGAAAGUCACCUGUUCUUUUUCGAUCGCAAUAUUGGAAUAAAAUUGUCAAAAAAUACUCUGUGCGUUUGGACGAGAAGUGCAGGCAGAUGGGAACAGAAAGCUCGUAGGACAUGGUCUCCAUUUGCUAUCGCCCCCAUUUGUGUGUUUUUCACCGCCCACUCUUUUGGCAAUUCGACUGGCAAAAAGCUGAAAUUGAAAACUCAAAGUACAUGGAACGGUAUUGCCAUUAUGGGCGCCACUGACAUGCAUAUGUGCGGAAAAUGUUCAAACAUUUUGUUGCCCGUUUUCAUGGAGAGUGGAGCUGUAGAAGGAUGCCAUAUUCGGCUGGCAAGCAAACAUUCAAUUAAAGCAUACUUUUGAACGCCACAAAAUGGCGUCGCAGCUUUUCACGCUGCACCAUGGGGCCAACCACCACUUUCGUUAUUAUAAACAACAUUAUAAACAAGUUCAGCUUC